UCCGGCUUGACACCGGCAGUCUCCUUAGAGUUCCCGGCAUGACCCGCUGGUAACUAAGGACAAGGGUUUCGCUCGUUAAGGGACUUAACCCGACAUCUCACAACACGAGCUGACGACAGCCAUGCAGCACCUGUGCACGUUCCACCCUUGCGGGUGUCACCCGAAUUUCACCGGGCUAAUCCGUGCAUGUCAAAUCUAGGAUAAGGUUCUUCGCGUAGCCUCGAAUUAAGCCACAUGCUCCACCGCUGGUGUGAGCCCCCGUCAAUUCCUUUGAGUUUCAGCCUUGCGACCAUACUCCCCAGGCGGGGUACUAACCACUUUCGCUUCGGCAGGAGGCGACAUCGGAUCGCUUCCUACCCAGUACCCAUCGUUUACGGCCAGGACUA
This 386-nucleotide unclassified non-coding RNA is filed under the name uncultured Planctomycetia bacterium. RNAcentral's name for it is "contains 16S-23S intergenic spacer region". Lineage: Bacteria; Pseudomonadati; Planctomycetota; Planctomycetia. The record is from RNAcentral.